AUGCAGAAGCAGAUGCAGAAGCAGCGGCUGCAGAAACAGGAGACGAAUCAUUCUUACGUAGCAUCAUUGAAGAUGAAGAUACGAAAGCAAAAGUUGGUGAAGGUGCCAAUCCAGAAGCUGCUCAAGAUGACAAGCCAAAAGGACGGAGGCAAAUGGCGUCAAGAUCACAAAUCUAGGAGCAUUUUACCAAAGUUUUUGAUGACAAGGGCAAUGCACAGGCACUUUGGUACAUGCAAGCGCAAUCCAAAUAAGAAAAUGGAUCCAAAUCAGACCACUUUGCAAGCAACUCCAGGAGAUGGCAUCAAUACUUGGAGAUAUGAUGCAGAAAAAGUUAGGAAGGCAUUUGCUGUGAUGGUCAUAGAGGAUGAACUACCUUUUACAUUUGGUGAGAAAUCUGGAUUCAGAAAGUUCAUUUCAGUCGCUUGCCCCCGCUUUAGUCCACCAUCAAGAAGAACUUGUACCAGGGACACUGUCAAAAUCUAUCUAGAUGAGAAAUGCAAGUUGAAAAAGUUUUUCAAAGAGAAUUGUGGAAGUGUGUGUGUAACCACUGAUUGUUGGACUUCUCAGCAGCAAGAUGGAUAUAUGGUAGUGACUGCACACUUCAUUGAUGAAGAUUGGAAGUAUCAUAAGAAGAUUAUUAAUUUCAUUAUGGUGAAGGGCCACAAAGGGAAGGAUCUUGGGAAGAACUUGCAAAGAUGUUUGCUGGAAUGGGGGCUAGAGAGAGUUAUGACAGUCACCGUGGAUAAUGCAAGCAAUAAUGAUGGUUGCAUUGUUCACUUGAGAAAGUGCAUGGUUGAGGCCAAAACUAGCAUAGCUGCUGGAAAGUUUUUGCAUAUGAGAUGUGCGGCACAUAUUGUCAACCUUAUUGUACAAGAUGGCCUAAAAGAAGUUGAACUUUCAAUCAAACGUGUCCAAGCUGCUGUGCAAUACAUCAAGAAUGGGACUUCUCGGUUGGUAAAAUUCAAAGAGCUAGCAUUGGAAGAAAAAGUUAAGAGCAAGGCAUUCUUGAACCUAGAUGUAUGCACUCGGUGGAACUCAACUUACAUAAUGUUGAAGGCUGCCAUCACCUACGCGAAGGUGUUUACAAGGUACUAUGAGGAUGACCCAUUGUAUGCGUUGGACUUGUCUGAAGAAAAAGGAGGAUUUGGGUAUCCAGUUUGUACGCAAGACUGGCUGAGAAGGUCAGCAGAUCCGGUCGACAUCAAGGAGAACUUGGAAGAAUUAGAAGUGCUAGAAAAAGAGUUGAUUGAAGAAUUUGGUGACAAGGUGAAGGGAAAGCGCAAGUUCAAUGGUGGUGUUGUUGCUUCUUCCACGGCCAAGUCAAACAAUUGUGCAAGUCGACCAACAAAGUGA
Molecule: ribosomal RNA, 1353 nt
Filed under: Triticum aestivum (bread wheat)
Lineage: Eukaryota; Viridiplantae; Streptophyta; Magnoliopsida; Poales; Poaceae
Description: partial small subunit ribosomal RNA
Source: RNAcentral